Molecule: ribosomal RNA, 425 nt
Filed under: uncultured bacterium
Lineage: Bacteria
Description: partial 16S ribosomal RNA
Rfam family: Bacterial small subunit ribosomal RNA
Source: RNAcentral
GUGGGGAAUCUUGCACAAUGGGGGAAACCCUGAUGCAGCGACGCCGCGUGAGCGAUGAAGCCCUUCGGGGUGUAAAGCUCUUUCGGCAGGAACGAUAAUGACGGUACCUGCAGAAGAAGCUGCGGCUAACUACGUGCCAGCAGCCGCGGUAAUACGUAGGCAGCAAGCGUUGUUCGGAGUUACUGGGCGUAAAGAGUGCGUAGGCGGUUCUCUACGUUCGGUGUGAAAUCUCCCGGCUCAACUGGGAGGGUGCGCCGGAAACUGGAGGGCUUGAGUAUGGGAGAGGAAAGCGGAAUUCCUGGUGUAGCGGUGAAAUGCGUAGAUAUCAGGAGGAACACCUGUGGUGUAGACGGCUUUCUGGACCAUGACUGACGCUGAGGCACGAAAGCGUGGGGAGCAAACAGGAUUAGAAACCCGUGUAGUCC